This 301-nucleotide ribosomal RNA is filed under the name uncultured bacterium. Its description in RNAcentral is "partial 16S ribosomal RNA". It matches the Rfam family "Bacterial small subunit ribosomal RNA", at positions 509 to 809 of the family's 1533-position model. The record is from RNAcentral.
CAGUAGCCGCGGUAAUACGAAGGGUGCAAGCGUUAAUCGGAAUUACUGGGCGUAAAGCGCGCGUAGGUGGUUUGGUAAGAUGGAUGUGAAAUCCCCGGGCUCAACCUGGGAACUGCAUCCAUAACUGCCUGACUAGAGUACGGUAGAGGGUGGUGGAAUUUCCUGUGUAGCGGUGAAAUGCGUAGAUAUAGGAAGGAACACCAGUGGCGAAGGCGACCACCUGGACUGAUACUGACACUGAGGUGCGAAAGCGUGGGGAGCAAACAGGAUUAGAUACCCCCGUAGUCCCUGUCUCUUAUAA